GACGAACGCUGGCGGCGUGCCUAAUACAUGCAAGUAGAACGCUGAAGGAGGAGCUUGCUUCUCUGGAUGAGUUGCGAACGGGUGAGUAACGCGUAGGUAACCUGCCUGGUAGCGGGGGAUAACUAUUGGAAACGAUAGCUAAUACCGCAUAAUAGUAGAUGUUGCAUGACAUUUGCUUAAAAGGUGCACUUGCAUCACUACCAGAUGGACCUGCGUUGUAUUAGCUAGUUGGUGAGGUAACGGCUCACCAAGGCGACGAUACAUAGCCGACCUGAGAGGGUGAUCGGCCAGACUGGGACUGAGACCGGGGCCAGAAUCCUACGGGAGGCAGCAGUAGGGAAUCUUCGGCAAUGGACGGAAGUCUGACCGAGCAACGCCGCGUGAGUGAAGAAGGUUUUCGGAUCGUAAAGCUCUGUUGUAAGGGAAGAACGAGUGUGAGAGUGGAAAGUUCACACUGUGACGGUAUCUUACCAGAAAGGAACGGCUAACUACGUG
RNAcentral lists this ribosomal RNA (495 nucleotides) under uncultured bacterium. Its description in RNAcentral is "partial 16S ribosomal RNA". It matches the Rfam family "Bacterial small subunit ribosomal RNA", at positions 28 to 507 of the family's 1533-position model. The record is from RNAcentral.